AUGUUGUCUGUAGCUCUGCUGCUGCUGCUGCUGGCAGCUGGAUCCUGUGUUUCUGGUUGGACCAUAACUGAGUCUGGACCAGCGGCUGAAAGGCCUGGAGAGUCCCACAAACUGACCUGCACAUAUUCUGACAUCUCAACCGAUAGUGGUUUUGGCUGGAUCAGACAAGCACCAGGAAAAGGACUGGAAUGGAUUGCACACAUCACUGGGCCAAGUGGAAGCACUAAGUCCUACUCCCAGUCAGUCCAGGGUCGGUUCACCAUCUCCAGAGAUAACAGCAGACAGCAGGUGUAUCUCCAGAUGAGCAGUCUGAAGACUGAAGACUCUGCUGUUUAUUACUGUGCCAGAGACACACAGAAUAACUAUUAUUUUGACUACUGGGGAAAAGGCACGGUGGUCACGGUCUCAUCAGCCACACCAAAGGCCCCUACUGUGUUUCCUCUGGAGCAAUGUGGCCCCGAGACCGGAGACACCGUGACUCUCGGCUGCCUCGCCACCGACUUUACACCCGCCUCACUGGGCUUCAGAUGCACCAACGCCGAGGGAGUUGCCCUGCCUGAUGUACUUCAGUACCCCGCUGUUGAGAAAAACAGGGCUUACUUUGGAGUCAGUCGGGUCCGCGUGCAGCGAGACUACUGGGACGCCAGGAAAGUUGUCAACUGUGUUGUUGAGCAUUCAGCAGGACAAAAACAAUGCCGCCUUCAGAAGAAAGUCGAGUUUCAUCAGUUGCCAACUCUUAACGUGUUGAUCUCUCCUGAGAUGAAGAAUGAGAGAUCAGCUUCCUUCUCCUGCUUUGCCACUGAUUUUUCACCAAAUGCUCAUGAAAUCAAAUGGCUCAGAGACGAUGAGGAAAUCCGUGACAAAAUCUCUGAGAUCCAGACCUCCUUUGAGCCCAAACGUAAUGAGAAUGGGACUUUGUACAGUGUCGUAAACUAUCUCCAGGUUGAUAAAAGUGCUUGGACGGAAUCGGAAGCCAAGAUUACAUGUGUGUUUAAGCAAAAAGAAGAAAAUGUCAACAAAUCUGUGGACUAUAAUACCACACCGGGUUCCACCACAUGUAAUGACCCAUGUGUAUAUGUUGACAUUGAGAUCUUGCCCCUCAGUUUGGAAGACCUGUUUCUGAACAAAAAAGCUAAACUUGUGUGUGAAGUGCUGGAAAAACAAGGAUCCGUUGAGUCUGUUGAGUGGCAGGACAAAGAUGGGAAACCUUUAAACAAGGACAGUCAUAAGAGCAGCCGAGGACCCCACAACCUCUACAGAAUUGAAGUGGAUGUCCUGUUUGAGGAGUGGAGCGAGGGGAUGGAAUAUUAUUGUGUUGUUGAACACAACGACUUAAUUAAAGCUGUAAGGGAGCGUUUUCAAAGGGACAAAGGAGAAACGAUUAAGCGGCCAUCUGUUUUUCUGCUGAGUCCAGUAGAACAAACUAGUAAUGACGUGGUGAUCCUGACUUGCUAUGUGAAAGAUUUCUACCCCAAGGAGCUUGUAGUGUCUUGGCUUGUUGAUGAUGUGGCAGCAGAUCCAGCUACCUAUACAUUCAAUACCACAAAUCUUUUAGAAAACAGCGGAUUCUACUCUGUAUAUAGUGAGCUUACGUUGAGCUUGGACCUUUGGAAGAAAAAUGACAAGGUGUUCAGCUGCGUUGUCUACCACGAGUCUAUGAUGAAAACAACAGGAGUCAUUAUUAGGUCCUUUGUACAAAACACCAAUGAAAAACCCAACCUGGUUAACGUCAGCCUUAACAUCCCUCAAAUUUGCAAGGCCGAGUAGAUGUGAUGUUGUGUCCAUGUGUGUUUUGCUAUGUGUGUGUUUUGUUUGUUGCCUGUGAUAUGACAUGCUGUUUGUCUUUAAAUGCAGAACUAAAAUCAAAAUAAAAAAGAUUUACUUCA
Non-coding RNA from Lampris incognitus (smalleye Pacific opah), 1886 nucleotides. The record is from the annotation of a RefSeq genome assembly. NCBI's taxonomy places the organism in Eukaryota, Metazoa, Chordata, Actinopteri, Lampriformes, Lampridae.